UAGGGAAUCUUCGGCAAUGGACGAAAGUCUGACCGAGCAACGCCGCGUGAGUGAAGAAGGUUUUCGGAUCGUAAAACUCUGUUGUUAGAGAAGAACAAGGACGUUAGUAACUGAACGUCCCCUGACGGUAUCUAACCAGAAAGCCACGGCUAACUACGUGCCAGCAGCCGUGGUAAUACGUAGGUGGCAAGCGUUGUCCGGAUUUAUUGGGCGUAAAGCGAGCGCAGGCGGUUUCUUAAGUCUGAUGUGAAAGCCCCCGGCUCAACCGGGGAGGGUCAUUGGAAACUGGGAGACUUGAGUGCAGAAGAGGAGAGUGGAAUUCCAGGUGUAGCGGUGAAAUGCGUAGAUAUAUGGAGGAACACCAGUGGCGAAGGCGGCUCUCUGGUCUGUAACUGACGCUGAGGCUCGAAAGCGUGGGGAGCAAACAGG
This 429-nucleotide ribosomal RNA is filed under the name Gemmatimonadota bacterium. RNAcentral describes it as "Gemmatimonadetes bacterium partial 16S ribosomal RNA". It matches the Rfam family "Bacterial small subunit ribosomal RNA", at positions 355 to 776 of the family's 1533-position model. The record is from RNAcentral. Lineage: Bacteria; Pseudomonadati; Gemmatimonadota.